RNAcentral lists this ribosomal RNA (641 nucleotides) under uncultured bacterium. RNAcentral describes it as "bacterial SSU rRNA". It matches the Rfam family "Bacterial small subunit ribosomal RNA", at positions 139 to 796 of the family's 1533-position model. The record is from RNAcentral.
GGGGAUAACACUUAGAAAUAGGUGCUAAUACCGCAUAAGCGCACAUCGCGCAUGGGGCAGAGUGAAAAACAUUAGUGGUGUAAGAUGGACCCGCGUCUGAUUAGCUUGUUGGCGAGGUAACGGCCCUCCAAGGCGACGAUCAGUAGCCGGCCUGAGAGGGUGGACGGCCACAUUGGGACUGAGACACGGCCCAAACUCCUACGGGAGGCAGCAGUGGGGGAUAUUGGACAAUGGGGGAAACCCUGAUCCAGCGACGCCGCGUGAGUGAAGAAGUAUUUCGGUAUGUAAAGCUCUAUCAGCAGGGAAGAAAGAAAUGACGGUACCUGAGUAAGAAGCCCCGGCUAACUACGUGCCAGCAGCCGCGGUAAUACGUAGGGGGCAAGCGUUAUCCGGAAUUACUGGGUGUAAAGGGAGCGUAGACGGUAAUGCAAGUCUGGAGUGAAAGGCGGGGGCCCAACCCCCGGACUGCUCUGGAAACUGUGUAACUGGAGUGCAGGAGAGGCAGGCGGAAUUCCUAGUGUAGCGGUGAAAUGCGUAGAUAUUAGGAGGAACACCAGUGGCGAAGGCGGCCUGCUGGACUGUAACUGACGUUGAGGCUCGAAAGCGUGGGGAGCAAACAGGAUUAGAUACCCUGGUAGUCC